UGUGAACUCGAAGAGUAGGGCGGGACACGUGGUAUCCUGUCUGAAUAUGGGGGGACCAUCCUCCAAGGCUAAAUACUCCUGACUGACCGAUAGUGAACCAGUACCGUGAGGGAAAGGCGAAAAGAACCCCGGCGAGGGGAGUGAAAAAGAACCUGAAACCGUGUACGUACAAGCAGUGGGAGCACCUUCGGGUGUGACUGCGUACCUUUUGUAUAAUGGGUCAGCGACUUAUAUUCUGUAGCAAGGUUAACCGUAUAGGGGAGCCGAAGGGAAACCGAGUCUUAACUGGGCGUUAAGUUGCAGGGUAUAGACCCGAAACCCGGUGAUCUAGCCAUGGGCAGGUUGAAGGUUGGGUAACACUAACUGGAGGACCGAACCGACUAAUGUUGAAAAAUUAGCGGAUGACUUGUGGCUGGGGGUGAAAGGCCAAUCAAACCGGGAGAUAGCUGGUUCUCCCCGAAAGCUAUUUAGGUAGCGCCUCGUGAACUCAUCUUCGGGGGUAGAGCACUGUUUCGGCUAGGGGGCCAUCCCGGCUUACCAACCCGAUGCAAACUACGAAUACCGAAGAAUGUUAUCACGGGAGACACACGGCGGGUGCUAACGUCCGUCGUGAAGAGGGAAACAACCCAGACCGCCAGCUAAGGUCCCAAAGUCAUGGUUAAGUGGGAAACGAUGUGGGAAGGCACAGACAGCCAGGAUGUUGGCUUAGAAGCAGCCAUCAUUUAAAGAAAGCGUAAUAGCUCACUGGUCGAGUCGGCCUGCGCGGAAGAUGUAACGGGGCUAAACCAUGCACCGAAGCUGCGGCAGCGACACUAUGUGUUGUUGGGUAGGGGAGCGUUCUGUAAGCCGUUGAAGGUGGCCUGUGAGGGCUGCUGGAGGUAUCAGAAGUGCGAAUGCUGACAUAAGUAACGAUAAAGCGGGUGAAAAGCCCGCUCGCCGGAAGACCAAGGGUUCCUGUCCAACGUUAAUCGGGGCAGGGUGAGUCGACCCCUAAGGCGAGGCCGAAAGGCGUAGUCGAUGGGAAACAGGUUAAUAUUCCUGUACUUGGUGUUACUGCGAAGGGGGGACGGAGAAGGCUAUGUUAGCCGGGCGACGGUUGUCCCGGUUUAAGCAUGUAGGCGGAGGUUCCAGGUAAAUCCGGUACCUUUUAACGCUGAGGUGUGAUGACGAGGCACUACGGUGCUGAAGUAACAAAUGCCCUGCUUCCAGGAAAAGCCUCUAAGCAUCAGGUAACAUCAAAUCGUACCCCAAACCGACACAGGUGGUCAGGUAGAGAAUACCAAGGCGCUUGAGAGAACUCGGGUGAAGGAACUAGGCAAAAUGGUGCCGUAACUUCGGGAGAAGGCACGCUGAUAUGUAGGUGAAGCCCCUGCGGGUGGAGCUGAAAUCAGUCGAAGAUACCAGCUGGCUGCAACUGUUUAUUAAAAACACAGCACUGUGCAAACACGAAAGUGGACGUAUACGGUGUGACGCCUGCCCGGUGCCGGAAGGUUAAUUGAUGGGGUUAGCGGCAACGCGAAGCUCUUGAUCGAAGCCCCGGUAAACGGCGGCCGUAACUAUAACGGUCCUAAGGUAGCGAAAUUCCUUGUCGGGUAAGUUCCGACCUGCACGAAUGGCGUAAUGAUGGCCAGGCUGUCUCCACCCGAGACUCAGUGAAAUUGAACUCGCUGUGAAGAUGCAGUGUACCCGCGGCAAGACGGAAAGACCCCGUGAACCUUUACUAUAGCUUGACACUGAACACUGGUCCUUGAUGUGUAGGAUAGGUGGGAGGCUUUGAAGUGUGGACGCCAGUCUGCAUGGAGCCGUCCUUGAAAUACCACCCUUUAAUGGCUGGUGUUCUAACGUAGACCCGUAAUCCGGGUUGCGGACAGUGUCUGGUGGGUAGUUUGACUGGGGCGGUCUCCUCCCAAAGAGUAACGGAGGAGCACGAAGGUUAGCUAAUCCUGGUCGGACAUCAGGAGGUUAGUGCAAUGGCAUAAGCUAGCUUGACUGCGAGAGUGACGGCUCGAGCAGGUGCGAAAGCAGGUCAUAGUGAUCCGGUGGUUCUGAAUGGAAGGGCCAUCGCUCAACGGAUAAAAGGUACUCCGGGGAUAACAGGCUGAUACCGCCCAAGAGUUCAUAUCGACGGCGGUGUUUGGCACCUCGAUGUCGGCUCAUCACAUCCUGGGGCUGAAGUAGGUCCCAAGGGUAUGGCUGUUCGCCAUUUAAAGUGGUACGCGAGCUGGGUUUAGAACGUCGUGAGACAGUUCGGUCCCUAUCUGCCGUGGGCGCUGGAGAAUUGAGGGGGGCUGCUCCUAGUACGAGAGGACCGGAGUGGACGCAUCACUGGUGUUCGGGUUGUCAUGCCAAUGGCACUGCCCGGUAGCUAAAUGCGGAAGAGAUAAGUGCUGAAAGCAUCUAAGCACGAAACUUGCCCCGAGAUGAGUUCUCCCUGAGACUUUAAGUCUCCUGAAGGAACGUUGAAGACGACGACGUUGAUAGGUCGGGUGUGUAAGCGCAGCGAUGCGUUGAGCUAACCGAUACUAAUGAACCGUGAGGCUUAACCUUACAACGCCGAAG
Molecule: ribosomal RNA, 2559 nt
Filed under: Enterobacter sp. WCHEn090032
Lineage: Bacteria; Pseudomonadati; Pseudomonadota; Gammaproteobacteria; Enterobacterales; Enterobacteriaceae
Description: partial 23S ribosomal RNA
Rfam family: Bacterial large subunit ribosomal RNA
Source: RNAcentral